UUCAUAACUUUUUCCAUUGAUUUAAACUGUUUAUAAUUUAGUACAUUAUAUAUAGAUUAUCAGUAAUGUCUAAUAUAAUGUUGAUUUUUUUAUCGUUUGUCCAAAAAUACAAAUUUCUAUAUAUGCUUUACAUAAAUAGGGUAGAAGUUGUUUGGUACUAAUGAUCUUCGGGGUUUUCAUAAUGUUAUAUGCUUUCAGUGACUAGUGUCAUUACUUUUUGAGUCUUUUCCCAUGCGGUGGACCCACUGGCCUCUUCAUAUAUGGUUACUGCUUGUAUUAUUACUACGCCCGAUCAGAUAUGUCUCGUUUUAUGCAAACGUCAUUCUUCUUCGGUUACAUGGCCUGCAUUUGCUGCUGCUUCUUUCUCAUGCUUGGCACCGUAAGUUUCCGCACUGCUUUGCUGUUUUUUUCGUCAGUAUGAGUACGUGGUCGGUUGAUCGUUCUGUUGAAUAGGUCAUCGUUUAUUCCUUUUUUUUAUCAUAGGAAAGAGUCGUGAUUUUUGUUAGAAGGUAGGCGAGAGGGUGCAUUCCGAAGCAGAGGAAGCAGCGAGCUUUCCCGAGUCAAGUCUUUCGAGGCCUCUGUUGAGCGUUUGCUUUAGGCGUUGGGAAACUUUGGGGCAAUUUAGAGUUUGCCUUAACUAUUAUUCACUAGGUGUAUGUAAUAGAACAGAAGCAUUAAUGUGGGGGAACAGAAGAGCUUGUUGUAUGGCCACAUUUUACCUAACUCUCUGAAAUGACUUUUUUUUCCAUAUUAGCUUACCCUUAUUGCUUUA
Molecule: long non-coding RNA, 772 nt
Organism: Pyrus x bretschneideri (Chinese white pear)
Lineage: Eukaryota; Viridiplantae; Streptophyta; Magnoliopsida; Rosales; Rosaceae
Exons: 2
Source: RefSeq, a predicted model, not a curated record